UACGUAGGGCGCAAGCGUUAUCCGGAAUUAUUGGGCGUAAAGAGCUCGUAGGCGGUUUGUCGCGUCUGCCGUGAAAGUCCGGGGCUCAACUCUGGAUCUGCGGUGGGUACGGGCAGACUAGAGUGAUGUGGGGGAGACUGGAAUUCCUGGUGUAGCGGUGAAAUGCGCAGAUAUCAGGAGGAACACCGGUGGCGAAGGCGGGUCUCUGGGCCGAUACUGACGCUGAGGAGCGAAAGCGUGGGGAGCGAACAGG
This 253-nucleotide ribosomal RNA is filed under the name uncultured bacterium. RNAcentral's name for it is "partial 16S ribosomal RNA". It matches the Rfam family "Bacterial small subunit ribosomal RNA", at positions 524 to 776 of the family's 1533-position model. The record is from RNAcentral.